RNAcentral lists this transfer RNA (74 nucleotides) under Bacteroidota bacterium. Its description in RNAcentral is "tRNA-His". It matches the Rfam family "tRNA". From Rfam's summary of the family: Transfer RNA (tRNA) molecules are approximately 80 nucleotides in length. Their secondary structure includes four short double-helical elements and three loops (D, anti-codon, and T loops). The record is from RNAcentral. RNAcentral also lists the same sequence under 2 other names. Lineage: Bacteria; Pseudomonadati; Bacteroidota.
GUAGCCGUAGCUCAGUUGGUUAGAGCAUCAGAUUGUGGUUCUGAGGGUCGCGGGUUCGAGCCCCGUUGGUUACC